Molecule: long non-coding RNA, 393 nt
Organism: Spea bombifrons (plains spadefoot toad)
Lineage: Eukaryota; Metazoa; Chordata; Amphibia; Anura; Pelobatidae
Exons: 2
Source: RefSeq, a predicted model, not a curated record
CCUUCAUCGUCCCUGAAAGACUUGUAUGUUAUAAAUGUCUAUUUAAAGAGUCUGUUUGCAGGUGUUCAGGACAACUGGUCAACAUCCAUUGGACAACCAGUGUCACAUGCUAUGGACAUUAUAGUACAUUAUAGUACAUAGCGCCCACUGCAUAAAUUGCACCAUACAGUAGCAAGUUUAUCGAUACAGCGAUGCAGGGCCAGAGUAAGGGCAAACACGUGUACUUUAUGUUUGAGUGUGUAUAUAUGUGUAUGUGUUUAGAUAUGUGUGUCUGUAUAUGUAUGCAUGGAUGAAAAAAUGUAAAAGGCAGACAAACAAGAUAAAAGAAGAAAAGGGGAAAGAAGGUGGAAAAAAGAAAGAUGUCAGCAAGUGAGGUGCAAAAGGAAUUACCAA